AUGCAUUCAGUAUCAAAACAUGAUUCCGUUCAUCAAAUGUCAAAAUCGUCUAGAGGACAAAGCAUGUUUUCGAGACGAUCAACAAGACGCGAUACUCUACGUACUUAUUUAUGUUAUUUCCGUACAGUGUCUGCUUUAGAACCAACUCUCCUAGAGAAAAGGCUUUGUGAGGCAUUCAAUGUAUUUGAUAGCGGAAAAGUUGGUGAAAUAGAUGUCAGUGAUUUAGGAACAAUUAUUCGAGCAUUAGGAUGUGUUAUUACCGAAGCAGAAUUGCAAGAGAUACAAGUUGAAGUGGAAAAUGUAGAAAACAAUUGCGUACCAUUAAAUAGAUUUCUAGAGUAUAUGUGUAAAUCUAUAAACGAACGCAAAUUUAAGCCAGCUGAACCAGAGAACUUGUUAAAAGCAUUUCAAUUACUAGAUCGUGAAAACAGAGGAUACAUUAUCCGCGAUGUCCUAGAAAAAGCAAUGAUGGAAAUUGCGGAACCAUUUUCGGAACAGGAAAUAACUGAUAUGAUGGCUAUUGCAUGCGAUCCGCAAACAAACAGAAUCAAUUACGAGCAUUACAUUAAUUUACUAAUUGUGAAAAUAUCUAACGAAUUAAAUGUAUACUCUAUCGUUGACGAAAUGGAUGCUGCUUUAUUAGAAGCUACACCUAAAAAACGUAGACUGGAAAGUCUUCUUCAGAGCUUUCAGACUUAACUUGCUGGAAAGACAUAAUUUUGUGAUUAAUCGAAGUAAUAUCGUCUACUAGUACAGGAAAUACAAGUAGCAACGAAAAUUUGUUAUUAGUGGAGUAAUAUUGACGCUUACAAUAUGAUCAAGACUAUCUUGAACAGGAUGAUCUCUCGAAUAAACUAAACUUAAUUUCGAACCUUGUACCGCAACUGGACUUUUACUUGCUAUCUGUUCUGCAAGUUCCAUUGAUC
Molecule: RNA transcript, 926 nt
Organism: Hylaeus anthracinus
Lineage: Eukaryota; Metazoa; Arthropoda; Insecta; Hymenoptera; Colletidae
Gene name: dynein regulatory complex protein 8-like
Exons: 5
Source: RefSeq, a predicted model, not a curated record